UAAAAAAUCUUUCUUAUGUUUUGCACAGACCAAAAAAAAAAGCCUGCUUUCUUAAUUCAUUACCUUGUGAAACCAGCCAGGCAAAACCUUUAAUAGUAACAAUAUCGAGAUACUUUGCUUUGAAGUAGUACUUCUUAAUACGCUUAAUUUUUCUUUAAGUACUUGAGUAGAUUUGUAUACAUCAGCUGUAGAGAAGUUAAAGCAUUGGACGUUAACAUUUUUAUUAUCACCUCAAUAUCUGAAUUUUUUUUUAUCGUGAAGAAGCACAGGGAUGCCCUCACAAAGGUUUUUAUAUAAUCUGGGCAAGUUGGCUAAUCAGUUGUGUAAGUCAGGGUCUUUCGUUUCACAGUGUUUCUCACACUCAAGAGUUGCGUGAAGUGUUCAUUUUCUUUAUGUAUCCAAGUGUGGAUUAUCUGGUAUCUUCUAAUACAGUCUGGAAGUUUCUCAUGCAAUUUAUCUUUUUACCCUAAAUUCACCUCCUUUAAAGGAUGAAUUACAUUAAAGACAGUGCCUGCCAUUUUUACAGAUAUUUGAUACCUUCAUACUUAGUCCUCACUCAUUAAAGUCGCUGAGCAGCCACAUCAUGGACCAAGUACUGUCCACGUUGCUGGCCAGACAGUGAUGGACACGACAUACACGUGCCCCUCACCUCCUGUGAAGUUUAUGAUGUAAAGGACAGUGCCAGCAAUGUGUAAGUGCUGGAAUAGGCCUUGAAAUUGAAAUACUUUGGCAAUUUUUAAAUAAGGCUUGAAAGGAGUAAAACUCAAAUCACCAAAUGCCUGGCAUCUGAGUUUACAUGAACCGGUACCAAGAUGUUACCAGGUACCUGGUGUUACUUAUAGUGCAAACGAGGCCCUCUGCUAUUUUAUAAAGAAGCUGUUCCCAAGAAUUGUAGUAUUUUACUCAAACCGUAGAUUAGGCAGAGGCAUGUGAAAAGCUGCGUAACAAUAAGACUUACAAGCAGCAAUUUAAUACAAGGAAAGACAUGCCAUGAAAGAAUAUGUGGUUAACUGCCAAGUAAGUAUUGUAUCGGAAACAUUGUUAUAAAUGGACAAUCCACUUCUGAGAUAGUUUUGCAGAGAAGAUGAGCCUGUAGCCUGGGGCUCUUGACAGGUAGCAAGGGUGUUGUCAUUGGGCAGCAGAGGAGAUGACAGAAAUGUCUUGUGGGAACAUUUAAAACUGGUUUGGGAAGAGAUAAGAUGUGCGAAGUUUAGACAGCCACACUGGGUCAAAUUAAAGAGAUCUGUAAAUACCAGGGACUUUGAGCUCUCCUGCAGGUCAUGGGGAGCCACUGAAAUUGUGGGUUUUUACUACCAAAAGCCAGGCAGGCACAUUGUAUGAUGGUAUCUAUUUAUACCUAGAGAGAACGAGCUUAAAUGAUGAAGACACAUCACAGGGAAUGAGUAUCUGGGCUCUCGGUGUCCCUUCUACCUCCCCCGCACCCCAGUGCAUUUAUUCAACUUUAGUCAUUUGACUGCCAUCUUCAUGACUUACUAAUGCAUAAAAUAUAGAUAGAUAAAUAGACAAAAUAUUAUAGAUAAAAUAUUAUAUUCAUGUAUUUCAUUUAACGUAUGAACACUGUAUACUCAUAUUUUUAUAUAUAUUCCAAAAUAGUGCCUCAGAUACUUUAGUCUUAGGGAAAUACAACUCCAGUAUUCAUCUGUCCUCACCACGGCUACAUUCAUAAUUCACACCUAAUAACUAUAUUUCGCCCCUCACUUUGGUCAGAGAGUACUCUUGCCCAAAUUCGUAUUCGAACCUGGGAGGUGUUACAUUUACCUGCCUUUUGCAGGGAGGGGAAAGUAUACUAAUCUUCAAACACAGCAAAUACAAGUAAUAGUUAAUCCACUUUCUAUUAUUUUAACUAUAUUAAUGUUACUUGUGUGUUUUCUUAACUUUCCCUACUUUUCAGCCAUACUUAAGGCAUUUAAGUUGUAACCAUGGCAAUGAGCUAUAAUGAUAAGGGUAGAAAAUUGAAGUUUGAUUGUAGGAAUAAAAGAGACAAAUCUGGUUUGUUUCCUGUUCCUUUUUCUAAGCAGUUACAGAUGCCCUUUAGAAGUCUGAUUGUAAGUAAACAGGAUAAAAUGACAGUUUCGCUGCUACUUUUACUAUAAAGUUUAACUUUGUCUUCUCUUUACCACUUUGGAUGCAGAGAUAGCGGAUAUAAUAUGAAAAUAAUCUUGUUUUUAGAAUUUAGUGGUCCUACCCAGAAUGAGGUAGGGGUGGAUUAAAUAUAAAAAAUAUUUAAAAGGUCUUUGGUCUGUUUUGUCCUAGGCUAGGUCUUGACCAAAAAAAAAACAAACAACUUUAUUCGAUUGUCUUGGUUUCCUUUAAAAAGAAAGAUUACAUGAAAAGGUUUAGAAUUGAAGGUCUGUUAUUGUUCCUCAUUCUUCUUUAACAUUUACUUGAAGACAAUUUCUCUACUCUCCCUCUCCUUAUUUUUGUAUUACAAAUUUGACUUGAAAAGCUUUUCAGCAAUAGGGUUUGUUAGCAAGGCAGUGGUUUGAUCUCUACCUGGGAGAGAUCCCUGCCUACUAAGGUGUUCUCAGGAUGUUAUAUUCUGUUGAAAUGCCAGAAAUUGAGACCAACUGCUGAAUUUGUUUUUAAAUAGCUAGCUUACUGCAGAGUCGCUUUCUAAGAAAGAGCUCGAUGCCCUAGGAGGAGAUUUCUGUUUAUGAUUCAGUUUGGGAGAAUCAGCUUCCUUGUUUUUUGAUUGGUUGGUUGGUUGAUUUUUAACUUGUACCAGGGAUCAUAGGCUAUUGGAAAGAAAAGGCCAAAGCCUUGGGCACUCAAAGAGGUAACUUCCCAAGUCAUGGGGAAGAACCAUUCAUUCUUGAGAACAUUUUUAUCUUCCUCGGCUGAUUGGGAAACUGUCUUAAGGAGAAGCUUCCUUGGAUGUAAUAAAAGUUGUUUGGAAGCAUUUAUGCUCUGUUGUUAUCUUGCCUUUUUGUUGCCUUCUCUCUUCAUUAUUCUGUAUUUUCUAGCUUACCAGCAUUACCUACUUUCUAAAAACGCAAGUGCACAUCCUCUUGUCUUUUAUGAAGAGAGGAAUUUAUCAUUUUCUGUUUGGGCAUUGUGUUUUCCUUAGCCUUGCAUUUCCCAUGACCUUGGGUUUUGUGUGUGUUUUUAUGUAUAUUCUGCUAAAAAGGAGUGAAGGGGGAAUGUUGUCUUAGUGUUUUUUUCUGUUUCCUCUGUUGUUAGCCUGCCAUUUUUCCAUGGUUCACGUCUUCAUAUCUCUUACCAGUAUAUGGAGUUGUACAAUCUCUUUUAUGUUUCACCAAAAUUUGAGGUAACUUUUAAGAACACAUAUGAUAAAAUCGAAAACUAAACUCCAGAAUCACGGAAAAUAUAUAUUAGAAUAAUAAGUAAAGACCUGAGGAAAGUGAGAAUGCAAAUGUAUGUAUGUGUAAUUAUACUUCUUCAAGAUGGACCAUAUUAUGGAGGAUAUCUUUUAAAGAAAAAAAUCUUGAACUUUCUCUUUCAAGAAAAAGCACACCAGUUCAGUCCUAAAUAAUAAUAAUAAUAACCAUACACAGUGUACGCUACCCACGAGGAUGAAGCUGUUGAAGCCAUAAAUUGAGUCCUUUUGUCAAAGUGAUCAUGGCUUGUUACUUAAAUCCUCCAGCCACAUCCUGUCAAGUGAAUUUUGCCACAAAUCACAAUUUCAGUUUUUCUGUUUGGGAGGAAGAAUUACCAGUCUAGAUGGUUGCCAGUUUUAGUGCUUCUGUGUAACAGGUAGGGGAGUGGCAUCAGCGAGAGACUCCAUUCCUCCCCUCCUCUUUCCUACAGAUUAGGACCAGGAACCUUCUACAGAGCUGGGGUGCUGUGUCUUUUCCCACCAGAUCAGAGAAUCAGGCUCACUUUGAUCUGAAGAAAGUACUCAAGAAACAGUUGCAGGAAUAGAUACUAAUGUAUGUUGAGUAGGUGAUUGGGAGUUACUACUCCCAAUCAAGCUGAACAGGCCAAAGGAUUGGAGUCGCUAGUAAAGAACAAGUUAGCAAAAGACAUAGGAGCAUAAAAUUUCUGGUUGACCCAGAAGGCACUAAGGGAUUAGCAGACUUGGGUGAGUCUUUCACAAUAAGUAGGAGAGAAAAUAUUAAUGAGUCCAUGCAAUUCAACUAUUUGAUGUUUGACAACAAAGGUGAAAGGAAAGGAAAAAGAUGGUGGAAAAGUAGAAACUUUAAGCUGAUCAGAUUAUUUAAUUUAGCAGUGCCACAUGUAUUUAUGGUGGAAUGUGUGAUAUGCCACAUUAACGUGCUCUCCAUGCCACUCAUCAUUGUGUGGUAUACACGGACGUGAGUUACUAACAUACUACUAAACUUAAGGCUUUAUAAAAGUUAAGUUUUAAAUUUUCUUUAUAUAUUUAAGUUUUGUUUCUAAAAUGUAUGAGCAUGAGUUUCUUCCACUGGGAUGGGUUUUAAAAACAAAUAAACACAAAUACUGAGGAUAAAAGAUAAACGAGAGACUAGCCUUAAGUCAAUUUAUCUUUCUUUUUUCUCCAUCUGGAGCAAGUAAUUUACAACACAAAAAAGCAUCAGCACGUCAUGAGAUAAGACGCAAACUUAAAUGGGAACACUUUAUGCCUCAGUAGAAAUGUACUGAAUUUAUAAAGGAGAUACAAUAGGAAGUUGUAUUAUACAUAUUCAUAAAUAGAAUGCUAGAUUAGCAAUCAUGUAUAAAGGACUGUUAUUUUACUGAGAAUUUUGAAUGUUAUGAUUUAUUAUGGCUGUAAACCGUACAAAUGACAAAAUUUUACUUCUAUUCUUCUGAAUACCAGGAGGAGUACAAAUUUCUAUUAAAAUCAGCCUUUUCAGGCCUUUAGCAACAUAGCUUCGUGAUCACCUCUGUAAAAGUUCGCUUAACUUUUUAAUGUUUUAUUACACUUUUUAAGGUUUUAUUACAAAAGUAAGACAUGCUUAUUUAAAAGAAAAAAUUGUCUAGAAGAAUUUGAAGUGAAAGGUAAAAUUUUUCUUCAUUUCCACAUCUCCCCAUACCAUGGCCAUGGUCCCCGCCGCUCCCCCAUACAUAACAAUGUAGAAGAAAAUCUGAAAUAAGAUGCACCAAACUGGUAAAUUAGUGUGUGAGAUUGUGUGUGUAUGUGUGUAAAAUAUCCACACACAUUUGCAUUUGUUUUGUUUUGUAUUUAAUACAAUGAGGAUAUAUUAUACAUUGUUCUAUGACUUAGUUUUUUUCCUUAACAAUAUAGUAAAACCAUGCACGUGUUUCUGUAUCAAUAUACAAAGAUCUGCCUCCUUUUCAGUGGCUGUCUGUUGUUUAGAAAAUUCAUGUAACCAGUCCCUUAUUAGUGAACUUUUUUUUUUUCAAUUUUGCACUUUGACAAACAAUGGUAAAAAUUUUCUCUACACAUCUGUCUGAGUGUCUCUGUCAAUUACAUUUUUUACAGGAGACUGCCUGGGCAAAAGUGUGUACAUUUUUAUUUUGGCAUUAAUGUCAGAUUGCCCACCAAAAAUGUUUAGCAACAGCAUGUGGGACAUGGGAAGACUUUCCCUCUAUCCUCUUAGAUUAUGUCACUGGAAUUUAACUGACAAUAGACAGAUUAAUAGGAGGAAGAAAACAAUUAUUCAUAUACAUCUGGAGCUCACCAAAGGAGUAGCUCCCCAGAUGGCUAUGGUUGGGGAUUAUGUACCUAAAUAGAGGAGAGGAGGCAGGCAGACAGGCUUCUGUAGGAAGAACACAUGGGUUUCUGGGGAGCAAACAGGAGCCGAGAGUUUGUGAUGACAUUUGUUUACCCAGGUGUGAGUGGUCUCUGUGUUGUUUUUUUUUUCUCCCCUUCAUUCCAUAAAACUCCCCCAGAAGGGAUCCAUGGCAGCCUCACUCCCAGAAGUUUCUGCUUUUCAUGAAAUAAGGGAAGCUCCAGAAGGAGUUCUUUCUGUAUCUUCUGAAUCUCCAGUAUCUGUAGUUUAAGAUGAUCUUCAUGCCAACUCUCGGGGUCCCAAUAGUAUGUAUCCCUACCUGUGCCAACUGUUAUGCAUGUCUGUGCUUCCUGUGUUAACAGUGGAUAGUGACAUGUGAAGUAUAAAUCUUCAUGAAUGUUUAAAACUUUGAGAAGUUAUUAGGCUUUUAAAAAAUUGUUUCUAAUUUCCCUGUAUCGUAAGCUUUAUGGACAGAUUAAUAAAGUUAUUUUAAAAAUAAUUAUUAAAUAUUCAUUAAAUGGGAAUAUUGCAUGACGACUUCAGCAUACCACUGACCAUUAUAUUAUUUAAUUCUUAUGGAAACUGGAGAUCAGCCUGAUCUUGGAAUUUAAUAAAAUUGUCAUGUUUCCUGUCAGCUUUACUUUCUUUCUUCUUAUCUGCCUCAAAAUGAUCAGAUACAUUUUUCUGUCAACAAAAAUGCAACGACCACUGCCAAAAUAAGCAAGAACCAAACUCUUUAUCACCAUUGGAGGUAAUUUGGGUGCCAACACCUUACUCCAGAGGUUCCCAAACUUCGCUGCACAUUAAAAUUGCCUGUGGAGCUGUUAAAAUUUUAUUCCCAGGCCUCCCCCACGUACAGUUAAAUCCAAAAGUUUGGGGCACAAACCAGAAAUCAAUAAUCUUUAAAGACCCCUAGGUGAUUCCACUCUGCAGUGUGUGAACCACUGCCUUACUCAUAAUUAAAUCAGUUUAAUUACUAGUAAUUAAAGAGAAGAAUUAAAGUUUAUCCUCCCUGUCCUGUACAGAUUUUAUUUCAGAAUAGCCAAAUAACCCUAGUCAUUCCUAGCUAUCUAAAGAUUUCUAAAAUAUGCCAAAGAGUUCCUACUGAUCACUGUAGAAAGAACAGUAAAAUUAGAAAAACCACCAGUUUGCAGCUCCUAAUGAAAUCAUUGAUUCAAGCAAAGAUUGUCAGUGUAUGAAAAAUAACCUCUAUUCUUAAUCUUAGCCUCACAGUAGAGUCACCUUGGGAGUGUUUUAGACACUUCUGCUGACUGAGUCCCAUACCCUCCCACUUCCACCCCAGGGGGUUGCAGUGUGCAACCAAGAUUGAGAAUCAUUACAUUAGUAGAAAGGAAGAUGGUGUACUUGAAAAUAGAUCAGCCUGCCACACCACUGGAAUUGGCUGAUUGAUCUGAGCAAAUGUGAAAGCUAUGAUGUGAAGUACACAGCACCAUGCGUAAAGUAUUCAGUAUAACUACAGAAGUUUGACCUGAAAGCUUUUAGCUCUAAAUUUCUCCUUAUAAGCAAAAUUGAGGCCAGAGGAUAUGUAAAUGCCACUACGAGACACCCAUCAAGCAAAUUCAGAAUGUGGCACAUCCUCUUGAGUUUAUUGCUGUGGUUCCAGCAGUGAGCCAGGAAGAUGAAAAUGGGGAAAUGGGCUAUCUUUUUGAGAUUUAAAGGACUUAGGUAACCAUCACAGUUAAAUGCAAUUGGUGAACCUUACUUCAGACUGACGAGUACAAGCCACUGAAGAAAGACAUUUCUUGAGACAUCAGGAAAAUUUUUAAUAUGAACUCAUUGUAUGGCAUUAUGGGAUAAUGGCAGUGUUGUGAAGUCCUUAUUUAAUAGAGCUACAUAGGGAAGUAUUUAGAGUUCUGAUGAUCCGGUGUGAGGGGUCUGUUUUAGAAUACCGUAACAGAAGAAAGGGAAAGAUAAAUGGAGUGUUAGAAGUGUGGCAUACAGUUGUAAUGAUUAAAUCUGGGGUGGUCAGUUAUGCUUUUCUGUUUUUAUGUAUGUUUGAAAAAGCUUAAUUUUAAAAAAUUA
Vicugna pacos (alpaca) is the source of this 7697-nucleotide non-coding RNA. NCBI's taxonomy places the organism in Eukaryota, Metazoa, Chordata, Mammalia, Artiodactyla, Camelidae. The record is from RefSeq and is a predicted model, not a curated record.